AGGGUUUGCUUAGGGCAGGGGGGGUUGAAGAGUGGCUCCUCUGUUUACAAUACAACAAACAGGAAUCUGGGGUCAUUGUGACAAGGGGCACAAAACUUGUGUCCUCCCUACAUGUGAAAAAAAAAGA
Small nucleolar RNA from Pongo pygmaeus (Bornean orangutan), 127 nucleotides. RefSeq annotates it as small nucleolar RNA SNORA11. NCBI's taxonomy places the organism in Eukaryota, Metazoa, Chordata, Mammalia, Primates, Hominidae. The transcript has a single exon. The record is from RefSeq and is a predicted model, not a curated record.